CAAUAGCGUAUAUUAAAGUUGUUGCAGUUAAAACGCUCGUAGUUGGAUUUCUGGUGGGAGCGAUCGGUCUGGCGCUUAGCGCGAGUACUUGCAUCGUCUCCGGCCAUCCUUGGGGAGAGUCUGUCUGGCAUUAAGUUGUCGGGCAGAGGAUCCUCAUCGUUUACUGUGAAAAAAUUAGAGUGUUCAAAGCAGGCUUAUGCCGUUGAAUAUAUUAGCAUGGAAUAAUAAGAUAGGACCUUGGUACUAUUUUGUUGGUUUGCGCACCGAGGUAAUGAUUAACAGGGACAGUUGGGGGUAUUCGUAUUCCAUUGUCAGAGGUGAAAUUCUUGGAUUUCUGGAAGACGAACUACUGCGAAAGCAUUUACCAAGGAUGUUUUCAUUAA
This 383-nucleotide ribosomal RNA is filed under the name uncultured eukaryote. RNAcentral describes it as "partial 18S ribosomal RNA". It matches the Rfam family "Eukaryotic small subunit ribosomal RNA", at positions 592 to 976 of the family's 1831-position model. The record is from RNAcentral.